UACAGAGGGUGCAAGCGUUAAUCGGAAUUACUGGGCGUAAAGCGUGCGUAGUCGGUUAUCUAAGUCGGGUGUGAAAUCCCCGGGCUUAACCUGGGAACUGCGUCUGAUACUGGAAGGCUUGAGGAUGGGAGAGGGAUGUAGAAUUCCAGGUGUAGCGGUGAAAUGCGUAGAUAUCUGGAGGAAUACCGGUGGCGAAGGCGGCAUCCUGGACCAUUACUGACGCUGAGGCGCGAAAGCUAGGGGAGCAAACGGG
This 253-nucleotide ribosomal RNA is filed under the name uncultured bacterium. RNAcentral describes it as "partial 16S ribosomal RNA". It matches the Rfam family "Bacterial small subunit ribosomal RNA", at positions 524 to 776 of the family's 1533-position model. The record is from RNAcentral.